UACAGGGGGUGCAAACGUUGCUCGGAAUCAUUGGGCGUAAAGCGCACGUAGGCGGUUCGUUAUGUCGGAUGUGAAAGCCCUUGGCUUAACCGAGGAAGUGCAUCCGAAACUGGCGAGCUAGAGUACGUAAGAGGAUCGCGGAAUUCCCGGUGUAGAGGUGAAAUUCGUAGAUAUCGGGAGGAACACCGGUGGCGAAGGCGGCGAUCUGGGUCGAUACUGACGCUGAGGUGCGAAAGCGUGGGGAGCAAACAGG
This 253-nucleotide ribosomal RNA is filed under the name uncultured bacterium. RNAcentral's name for it is "partial 16S ribosomal RNA". It matches the Rfam family "Bacterial small subunit ribosomal RNA", at positions 524 to 776 of the family's 1533-position model. The record is from RNAcentral.